RNAcentral lists this ribosomal RNA (464 nucleotides) under uncultured Syntrophus sp. RNAcentral's name for it is "bacterial SSU rRNA". It matches the Rfam family "Bacterial small subunit ribosomal RNA", at positions 920 to 1382 of the family's 1533-position model. The record is from RNAcentral. Lineage: Bacteria; Pseudomonadati; Thermodesulfobacteriota; Syntrophia; Syntrophales; Syntrophaceae.
CCCGCACAAGCGGUGGAGCAUGUGGUUUAAUUCGAUGCAGCGCGAAGAACCUUACCUGGGCUUGACAUCCCGGGAAUCCCUUGGAAACAAGGGAGUGCCCUUCGGGGAACCUGGAGACAGGUGCUGCAUGGCUGUCGUCAGCUCGUGUCGUGAGAUGUAGGGUUAAGUCCCGCAACGAGCGCAACCCUUGUCUUUAAUUGCCAUCAUUGAGUUGGGCACUUUAAAGAGACUGCCGGUGUUAAACCGGAGGAAGGUGGGGAUGACGUCAAGUCCUCAUGGCCUUUAUGCCCAGGGCUACACACGUGCUACAAUGGGUGGUACAAAGAGCAGCCAGCUCGCGAGAGUGAGCAAAUCUCAAAAAGCCAUCCUCAGUUCGGAUUGAAGUCGGCAACUCGACUUCAUGAAGUUGGAAUCGCUAGUAAUCGCGGAUCAGCAUGCCGCGGUCGAAUACGUUCCCGGGCCUU